GACGAACGCUGGCGGCGUGCUUAACACAUGCAAGUCGAACGAAGUGGCGAACGGGUGAGUAACGCGUAAUCAACCUGCCCUUCAGGGGGGGACAACAGUUGGAAACAACUGCUAAUACCGCAUACUGAAGGAGGGGAUUGCGGCGGUUUAGGUAGUUGGAGGGGUAACGGCCCACCAGGGCGAUGAUCAGUAGCCGGGCUGAGAGGAUGAAUGGCCAAAUUGGGGAGGAGACACGGCCCCGACCCCUACGGGAGGCAGCAGUGGGGAAUCUUCCCCAAUGGAGGAAAGUCUGACGGAGCAACGCCGCGUGAGUGAUGACGGCCUUCGGGUUGUAAAGCUCUGUUAAUCGGGACGCGGUACCGGAAUAGAAAGCCACGGCUAACUACGUGCCAGCCGCCGCGGUAAUAC
Molecule: ribosomal RNA, 408 nt
Filed under: uncultured bacterium
Lineage: Bacteria
Description: partial 16S ribosomal RNA
Rfam family: Bacterial small subunit ribosomal RNA
Source: RNAcentral